CUUAACAGUGAUCAGCUGAAUGGCCAGGA
RNAcentral lists this non-coding RNA (29 nucleotides) under Homo sapiens (human). The record is from RNAcentral. Lineage: Eukaryota; Metazoa; Chordata; Mammalia; Primates; Hominidae.